GUCCAGACUCCUACGGGAGGCAGCAGUGGGGAAUAUUGCACAAUGGGGGAAACCCUGAUGCAGCGACGCCGCGUGAGUGAAGAAGUAUUUCGGUAUGUAAAGCUCUAUCAGCAGGGAAGAAGUUGACGGUACCUGAGUAAGAAGCCCCGGCUAACUACGUGCCAGCAGCCGCGGUAAUACGUAGGGGGCAAGCGUUAUCCGGAUUUACUGGGUGUAAAGGGAGCGUAGACGGCAGCGCAAGUCUGGAGUGAAAUGCCGGGGCCCAACCCCGGAACUGCUUUGGAAACUGUGCAGCUGGAGUGCAGGAGAGGUAAGCGGAAUUCCUAGUGUAGCGGUGAAAUGCGUAGAUAUUAGGAGGAACACCAGUGGCGAAGGCGGCUUACUGGACUGUAACUGACGUUGAGGCUCGAAAGCGUGGGGAGCAAACAGGAUUAGAUACCCUGGUAA
This 447-nucleotide ribosomal RNA is filed under the name uncultured bacterium. RNAcentral's name for it is "bacterial SSU rRNA". It matches the Rfam family "Bacterial small subunit ribosomal RNA", at positions 329 to 793 of the family's 1533-position model. The record is from RNAcentral.